CCGGGGCAAUUUCGUCACUUUUCGCGACGCUGUCGGAAUGGGCCGAAAUUUGGCUAGUUGGUCGGAAACAAAAAUCGUGCCGGGGAAAAUUUAGUCAUCUUUCGCGACAGUGUCGGAAUGGGCUAAAAUUUGACAAUUGAUCGGAAACAAAAAUCGCGUCGAGGGCAAUUUUGUCACUUUUCUCGACGCUGUCGAAAUGGGCUAAAAUUUGGCAGGUUGAUCGGAAACCAAAAU
This 234-nucleotide long non-coding RNA is filed under the name Olea europaea (common olive). RNAcentral's name for it is "long non-coding RNA (OEUR_LNC013659)". Lineage: Eukaryota; Viridiplantae; Streptophyta; Magnoliopsida; Lamiales; Oleaceae. The record is from RNAcentral.